UAAAUGGCUAGGGCAUGCAACCCGAAAAGGAAUUAACCUGAUUCCCUGCCACUUAACUAUUCAGGU
RNAcentral lists this small RNA (66 nucleotides) under Acinetobacter phage phiAC-1. Its description in RNAcentral is "int-alpA RNA". It matches the Rfam family "int-alpA RNA". From Rfam's summary of the family: Acidobacteria (1 example), Planctomycetes (1 example), Proteobacteria. Environment (Lake Washington) Lineage: Duplodnaviria; Heunggongvirae; Uroviricota; Caudoviricetes. The record is from Rfam by way of RNAcentral.